This 226-nucleotide ribosomal RNA is filed under the name uncultured bacterium. Its description in RNAcentral is "partial 16S ribosomal RNA". It matches the Rfam family "Bacterial small subunit ribosomal RNA", at positions 538 to 763 of the family's 1533-position model. The record is from RNAcentral.
GCGUUAAUCGGAAUUACUGGGCGUAAAGCGUGCGCAGGCGGUUUUGUAAGUCAGAUGUGAAAUCCCCGGGCUCAACCUGGGAACUGCAUUUGAGACUGCAAGGCUAGAGUGUAGCAGAGGGGGGUAGAAUUCCACGUGUAGCAGUGAAAUGCGUAGAGAUGUGGAGGAAUACCGAUGGCGAAGGCAGCCCCCUGGGCUACUACUGACGCUCAUGCACGAAAGCGUG